CAGGGAGACAACAAAAUGUUUAAUAUUAUUAUUUUGUCACCUUAGGUCGAUCGGUAUCUCACGUUUUUAAUUUAUUAAGAAUUUCAUUUCCUAAGUUUUUCUAGGUCACACCCAUUAUUUUUCCUGGGCCAUUAGCUCAGGUGGUUAGAGCGCACCCCUGAUAAGGGUGAGGUCCCUGGUUCAAGUCCAGGAUGGCCCAUAUCUCUAUGUUGGGGGUAUAGCUCAGUUGGUAGAGCGCCUGCUUUGCAAGCAGGAUGUCAGCGGUUCGAGUCCGCUUACCUCCACUGAUUACCACCUCUUCCAUAACCGGUAGUAAAGGAAAUUUUUUGAGUUGUGAUCAAAUUCUGAAAGAAUCUAGCUUCCUAAUGAAAUCAUUAAGAUGCUGGACUCAUUGAAUUAAUUUCAUUGUUUUCAGAGAACCUUGACAACUGCAUAGAUUAUUUUUAAAGACAAUAAGCAUCUUUAAUGAUGCAGAUUUAUUAUUUGUGCGAAUGCAUUAAUAACAAUUCUAUUAAGCUGAUGCUUCAAUUUUUGAAGUUAUU
This 542-nucleotide transfer RNA is filed under the name uncultured cyanobacterium. RNAcentral's name for it is "partial miscellaneous RNA". The stretch from base 212 to 284 matches the Rfam family "tRNA". The record is from RNAcentral. Lineage: Bacteria; Bacillati; Cyanobacteriota.